RNAcentral lists this unclassified non-coding RNA (349 nucleotides) under soil metagenome. RNAcentral describes it as "partial contains 5.8S ribosomal RNA, internal transcribed spacer 2, and large subunit ribosomal RNA". The stretch from base 1 to 120 matches the Rfam family "5.8S ribosomal RNA", at positions 35 to 154 of the family's 154-position model. The record is from RNAcentral.
GAUGAAGAACGUAGCGAAAUGCGAUAAGUAAUGUGAAUUGCAGAAUUCAGUGAAUCAUCGAAUCUUUGAACGCACAUUGCGCCCGCCAGUAUUCUGGCGGGCAUGCCUGUCUGAGCGUCAUUUCAACCCUCAUGCCCCUAGGGCGUGGUGUUGGGGAUCGGCCAAAGCCCGCAAGGGACGGCCGGCCCCUAAAUCUAGUGGCGGACCCGUCGUGGCCUCCCCUGCGAAGUAGUGAUAUUCCGCAUAGGAGAAGCGACGAGCCCCUGCCGUUAAACCCCCAACUUUCUCAGGUUGACCUCAGAUCAGGUAGGAAUACCCGCUGAACUUAAGCAUAUCAAUAAGCGGAGGA